This 64-nucleotide transfer RNA is filed under the name Ismarus sp. ZJUH_2016020. Its description in RNAcentral is "tRNA-Thr". Lineage: Eukaryota; Metazoa; Arthropoda; Insecta; Hymenoptera; Diapriidae. The record is from RNAcentral.
AACUAAAUAGUUUAAAAUAAAACAAUAAUUUUGUAAAUUAUAAAUAUAUAAAUUAUUUUAGUUU